CCCUUAGAUGUUCUGGGCUGCACGCGUGCUACAAUGGCGUUUCCAGCAAGUCUGCGAACCCGAGAGGGCCAGCGGAUCUUCGAAUUGGCGUCGUGAUCGGGACAGUCGAUUGCAAUUAUUUGACUCAAACGAGGAAUUCCUUGUAAUCGCGAUUCAUCAUAUCGCGCUGAAUACGUCCCUGCCCUUUGUACACACCGCCCGUCGCUCCUAACGAUUGAGCGAUCCGGUAAAUGUUUUGGAUUGGUGCCGGGGCGGCUAGCUGCCGGUCGCUACGAAAUUUUGUGAACCUUAUCGCUUAGAGGAAGGAAAAGUCGUAACA
RNAcentral lists this ribosomal RNA (319 nucleotides) under uncultured eukaryote. Its description in RNAcentral is "partial 18S ribosomal RNA". It matches the Rfam family "Eukaryotic small subunit ribosomal RNA", at positions 1470 to 1796 of the family's 1831-position model. The record is from RNAcentral.